UACGUAGGGGGCAAGCGUUAUCCGGAUUUACUGGGUGUAAAGGGAGCGCAGACGGCAGUGCAAGUCUGGAGUGAAAGCCCGGGGCCCAACCCCGGGACUGCUCCGGAAACUGUACGGCUAGAGUACGGGAGGGGCAGGCGGAAUUCCUAGUGUAGCGGUGAAAUGCGUAGAUAUUAGGAGGAACACCGGCGGCGAAGGCGGCCUGCUGGACCGAAACUGACGUUGAGGCUCGAAAGCGUGGGGAGCAAACAGG
Molecule: ribosomal RNA, 253 nt
Filed under: uncultured bacterium
Lineage: Bacteria
Description: partial 16S ribosomal RNA
Rfam family: Bacterial small subunit ribosomal RNA
Source: RNAcentral